CUUUAUGUUUGAGGGGGGGGACUUAACUGUUGGCAUUGAUAUGGUGAGGAGGAGGGAGGGAGGGAGGGGGGGAAGAAAAAAUUCAGUAUUCCAAGGAGAAUCCCAACCUUCCAAAAACUGAACAGUGUGCUUCUGAAAGAUAUGGACAAGAAGGAGGAGAAAGCCCGGUUUCUGUUGGUAGCAGAGUCCGAGGCCACAGAGGUCAAUGUUGCACCUGUGAGGUUGCAGUGGAGUCAGCUUAAGGCUUGGCAGGCCCAACCUUACAGCAGAUAUAAACAUAUAUGUUAUAUUUAAACCUUUUCAUCUUUUCUUUUUUUUUUCUUUUUCUCAUUGUUGUGGUUGUACAAUAUUCCCUGAUGGCCUGAUGUGGCCGCUGAGUGUUACACAGAAUCCUGAAGAGAUAUCAAAAUGAAAGAGGAAAAUAAAAGAGAAAAAAAAAAAA
Molecule: long non-coding RNA, 442 nt
Organism: Stegastes partitus (bicolor damselfish)
Lineage: Eukaryota; Metazoa; Chordata; Actinopteri; Pomacentridae
Exons: 3
Source: RefSeq, a predicted model, not a curated record